GCUGUCCCUGUCACCCCAGGUCUCCCAAACAUCUCUCUUUUAUUACAGGAAAAGUGUGAUGCUGUGUGGAAAAGCUGAUGUUCCUGGCAACACACACGUUCCCACUGCGAAACUGCUCAGAUAAGCUAUUUUCCAUUUCCAUUGUGACCCAGAGACUCCUGGGGAUUCAGGAACUCUCUGCUUACAUUUCUCUCUAAGCCUUAAAGUGCGGCUUUAGCCCUGGUGCUGUCAGAAGGCAGGUCAGACCAUCUCUCCUCUCCCGUCCAGCCCAGGGAGGCUGGGGAGGAUGCGGCCCCACCUCCCUCUCCAUGGUGCCUCUGUGUCUCCCUAGGUGUGACCCCUCCCGUGCUGGCUUUGCUCCCGUGGCGGCCCUUGAGGUUGGAUAGGAUGAAGGCAGUGCCCGAGGCCGUGGAGCUUUGGGCCAAGCUGCUUGGUUUUCAGCCCACAGGUCUAGUUAGAGGCAGCAUCUGUGGACCAGCUCGCAGGAGGUGGGGUGACCAGCUCCUGACCAAGCCACGCUCUCUUCACAUCCACAGGGUCCUUUCUGUGCCCUUCCUCUCUGAACCUACGUUGCUUGUGGAUAAAUCAGAUGGGGGCUUUUGUUCUUGGGCCAUGGGAGACCACGUGGGCCUCCUCAGGGUGCUGCGGGUCUGCAUACGCUUGGUUCCAGGGGCGCGGAGGGGACUGGCCGAGGUUUCUGCCUGUGCCUGGUGACCCUCAGUGCUGCACCAGC
This 733-nucleotide long non-coding RNA is filed under the name Marmota monax (woodchuck). Lineage: Eukaryota; Metazoa; Chordata; Mammalia; Rodentia; Sciuridae. The record is from RNAcentral.